Molecule: ribosomal RNA, 476 nt
Filed under: uncultured anaerobic ammonium-oxidizing bacterium
Lineage: Bacteria
Description: bacterial SSU rRNA
Rfam family: Bacterial small subunit ribosomal RNA
Source: RNAcentral
UUUUCGCAAUGCCCGAAAGGGUGACGAAGCGACGCCGCGUGGGUGAGGAAGGCCUUCGGGUUGUAAAGCCCUGUCAGGAGUUAAGAAAUAUAAGUGCGUUAAUACCGCAUUUAUUUGACGAAGGCUCCAGAGGAAGCCACGGCUAACUCUGUGCCAGCAGCCGCGGUAAUACAGAGGUGGCAAGCGUUGUUCGGAUUAUUGGGCGUAAAGAGCACGUAGGUGGGUUUGUAAGUCAGAUGUGAAAGCCUUCUGUUCAACGGAAGAAUUGCAUCUGAAACUGCGAGUCUUGAGUGUAGGAGGGGAGAAUGGAACUUCUGGUGGAGCGGUGAAAUGCGUAGAUAUCAGAAGGAACGCCGGCGGCGAAAGCGAUUCUCUGGCCUAUUACUGACACUCAGUGUGCGAAAGCUAGGGGAGCAAACGGGGUUAGAUACCCCGGUAGUCCUAGCCGUAAACGAUGGGCACUAAGUAGAGGGGUU